CGGGGGGAGCAAGCGUUGUUCGGAUUUACUGGGCGUAAAGGGCGCGUAGGCGGCCACCGCAAGUCGACUGUGAAAUCUCCGGGCUUAACCCGGAAAGGUCAGCCGAUACUGCGGGGCUAGAGUGCAGAAGGGGCAACUGGAAUUCUCGGUGUAGCGGUGAAAUGCGUAGAUAUCGAGAGGAACACCUGCGGCGAAGGCGGGUUGCUGGGCUGACACUGACGCUGAUGCGCGAAAGCUAGGGGAGCGAACGGGAUUAGAUACCCCGGUAGUCCUAGCCUUAAACGAUGAAUGCUUGGUGUCUGGGGUCUUAUAGUCCCCGGGUGCCGUCGCUAACGCUUUAAGCAUUCCGCCUGGGGAGUACGGUCGCAAGACUG
Molecule: ribosomal RNA, 374 nt
Filed under: uncultured organism
Description: bacterial SSU rRNA
Rfam family: Bacterial small subunit ribosomal RNA
Source: RNAcentral